This 32-nucleotide non-coding RNA is filed under the name Mus musculus (house mouse). Lineage: Eukaryota; Metazoa; Chordata; Mammalia; Rodentia; Muridae. The record is from RNAcentral.
UGGAAAAACUUGGAGGCGCUGUCCUUCAGAGU